This 295-nucleotide ribosomal RNA is filed under the name uncultured bacterium. RNAcentral describes it as "partial 16S ribosomal RNA". It matches the Rfam family "Bacterial small subunit ribosomal RNA", at positions 334 to 620 of the family's 1533-position model. The record is from RNAcentral.
AACAUCCUACGGGGGGCAGCAGUAGGGAAUUUUCGUCAAUGGGCGCAAGCCUGAACGAGCAAUGCCGCGUGAACGAGGAAGGUCUUCGGAUCGUAAAGUUCUGUUGAAGGGGGGAAAGAGCGGAGAGAGGAAAUGAACUCCGAUUGAUAUUACCCUUCGAGGAAGUCACGGCUAACUACGUGCCAGCAGCCGCGGUAAUACGUAGGUGGCGAGCGUUAUCCGGAAUGAUUGGGCGUAAAGGGUGCGUAGGCGGCCUGCUAAGUCUGGAGUGAAAGGUACCGGCUCAACCGGUACA